CGCGGAGCUAAUACCGCAUAUGUUCGCUCAUUCGGUUGGGCGAGUAAAGCAGCGAUGCGCUUAGGGAUGGGCCUGCGGCGGAUUAGGUAGUUGGUGGGGUAACGGCCUACCAAGCCGAUGAUCCGUAGGGGGCGUGAGAGCGUGGCCCCCCACACUGGCACUGAGACACGGGCCAGACUCCUACGGGAGGCAGCAGUGAGGAAUAUUGCACAAUGGGCGCAAGCCUGAUGCAGCAACGCCGCGUGAGGGACGAAGGCCUUCGGGUUGUAAACCUCUUUUCUGAGGGACGAGGAAGGACGGUACCUCAGGAAUAAGUCUCGGCUAACUACGUGCCAGCAGCCGCGGUAAAACGUAGGAGGCGAGCGUUAUCCGGAUUUACUGGGCGUAAAGCGCGCGCAGGUGGCUUCGUGAGUCGGACAUGAAAGCUCCUGGCUUAACUGGGAGAGGCUGUUCGAUACUGCGGGGCUUGAGGUUGGGAGAGGGACGCGGAAUUCCCGGUGUAGUGGUGGAAUGCGUAGAUAUCGGGAGGAACACCAGUGGCGCAAGCGGCGUCCUGGCCCACACCUGACGCUGAGGUGCGAAAGCGUGGGUAGCAAACAGGAUUAGAUACCCUGGUAGUCCACGCUGUAAACGAUGUCAACUGGGUGUCGGUAGUUUUACACUAUCGGUGCCGAAGCUAACGCG
Molecule: ribosomal RNA, 684 nt
Filed under: uncultured bacterium
Lineage: Bacteria
Description: bacterial SSU rRNA
Rfam family: Bacterial small subunit ribosomal RNA
Source: RNAcentral